AAUAAGCAACCAGAUUUCUGGAGGUAACAGGCCACUGUGAGGGGAGGAAACAGAAAUGAGCCUGGAAUCAGUCUGAGGAGGAGUGCAGAAACUGGAGUCACCAAGAGCACCACGAAGACAAAGUAGGUUUAAUACACUCAAAAAAAAAAAAACUGAAGAAGACAGAGACUUCCAAAAUUAUCAGAAAGACUCAAAACAAAUCUCAACUAGAAUUUGAGAAUAUUAAAAUUGUAUGGGAAAAAGCCAUCCAUAUGUGGAUCUGAUGCUAAUCACAUAUCAGAGCCUUUGAGAAAUUAAGGAUUAAAGAGAUUUCCCUCAGGGCUGGGGAUGUGGCUCAAGUGGUAGUGCGCUCGCCUGGCAUGCUCAGGGUGCUGGGUUCUAUCCUCAGCACCACAUAAAAUACAAUAAAGAUGUUGUGUCCACCAAAAACUGAAAAAUAAAUAUUUUUUAAAAGAGAGAUUUCCUUCAACUGGAACACACACACACACACACACACACUCAAGAGUGUCUGCUAGCAUCACUUUUAGUCAUGAUAAUAUUAAGGACCCAAGGCAAUGCAAUAAGACAAGAAAAAAAAUCUGAAGAUUAGAAGUGCAAUCAGUAUGUUGAAGAGACAUCUGCACUCUGUGUUCUCUACAGCACUGUUCACAAGAGACAAGCAAUGGAAAUGGCCCAAAUGUCCAUGAAUGGAUAAAGAAAAUGUGGCCCACAUUCAAUGUUCCAUGGGAUUCUAUUCAGCCAUAAAAAGAAUGAAAUCCUGUCAUUUUUAGCAACACUGAGGGGAUGGGAGAUCAUUACAUUAAGUGAAACAAGCCAGACACAGAGAGACAACUACUGCCCGAACACAUUCGCAUGUGGAAUCUAAAAAAGUUGAUGUCAUAGAAGUUGAGAGUAAAACUGUGGUUGCCAGAGUAGAGUAGAGUGACUAUAUCUGUGGUUCAGAAAGCUAGGAUAGAGGAUCUUAAAUGAUAAAUGUUUGAGGAUAUAAAUAUGUUUAACAUGAUUUAAAUGUUAUGCAAUAUACACAUGAAUUAAAAUGUGCAUGAUAUUGCAUUAUUAACAUUUCUGUUUUUAUGGGUCAGUUCUAUACGUUUUUAAAAAAGAUUGGGAAGUAAGAUACAAAACUCGUGAUGGUCAUAAGUUUAUAAUAUUAUCUGUGGUAACAUCUAAAGUAUCUACAGGCAAGUUAUUCAUUUGGUAGGAAAUUUGGCAAGUUUUCCACAUAGAAACACUAAAAAAGUCCACUGAACUUCUACAUAUUAGCAAGAAACAAGAAGUGAAAUUGAAAAAAUAUCAUUUUACGAAACUGAUAAAAGGUGUUCCAUAAGAAUGAAACUAACAAAACAUUAAAAGUUGAAAACCCUUAAAAAGAUGUAAAUAAAGGGAGAUAUCUGCCAUGUUUGGAGAUGAAUAUUGUGAAGAUUUUAAUUCUCCCAACAUUGAUCUACAGAUUCAAUGCAAUGCCAAUACCAGACAUACUAAGCUGUUUGUGAAAAUU
This 1498-nucleotide long non-coding RNA is filed under the name Marmota monax (woodchuck). The record is from RNAcentral. Lineage: Eukaryota; Metazoa; Chordata; Mammalia; Rodentia; Sciuridae.